Molecule: ribosomal RNA, 570 nt
Filed under: Trichoderma atroviride
Lineage: Eukaryota; Fungi; Ascomycota; Sordariomycetes; Hypocreales; Hypocreaceae
Description: eukaryotic LSU rRNA
Rfam family: 5.8S ribosomal RNA (bases 196-348)
Source: RNAcentral
AGGGAUCAUUACCGAGUUUACAACUCCCAAACCCAAUGUGAACCAUACCAAACUGUUGCCUCGGCGGGGUCACGCCCCGGGUGCGUCGCAGCCCCGGAACCAGGCGCCCGCCGGAGGGACCAACCAAACUCUUUCUGUAGUCCCCUCGCGGACGUUAUUUCUCACAGCUCUGAGCAAAAAUUCAAAAUGAAUCAAAACUUUCAACAACGGAUCUCUUGGUUCUGGCAUCGAUGAAGAACGCAGCGAAAUGCGAUAAGUAAUGUGAAUUGCAGAAUUCAGUGAAUCAUCGAAUCUUUGAACGCACAUUGCGCCCGCCAGUAUUCUGCGGGCAUGCCUGUCCGAGCGUCAUUUCAACCCUCGAACCCCUCCGGGGGGUCGGCGUUGGGGAUCGGGAACCCCUAAGACGGGAUCCCGGCCCCGAAAUACAGUGGCGGUCUCGCCGCAGCCUCUCCUGCGCAGUAGUUUGCACAACUCGCACCGGGAGCGCGGCGCGUCCACGUCCGUAAAACACCCAACUUCUGAAAUGUUGACCUCGGAUCAGGUAGGAAUACCCGCUGAACUUAAGCAUAU